This 473-nucleotide ribosomal RNA is filed under the name uncultured bacterium. RNAcentral's name for it is "bacterial SSU rRNA". It matches the Rfam family "Bacterial small subunit ribosomal RNA", at positions 335 to 799 of the family's 1533-position model. The record is from RNAcentral.
ACUCCUACGGGAGGCAGCAGUGGGGAAUAUUGCACAAUGGGCGCAAGCCUGAUGCAGCCAUGCCGCGUGUAUGAAGAAGGCCUUCGGGUUGUAAAGUACUUUCAGCAGUGAGGAAGGUGGAGUCGUUAAUAGCGGCCUCAUUUGACGUUAGCUGCAGAAGAAGCACCGGCUAACUCCGUGCCAGCAGCCGCGGUAAUACGGAGGGUGCGAGCGUUAAUCGGAAUUACUGGGCGUAAAGCGCAUGCAGGUGGUUUGUUAAGUCAGAUGUGAAAGCCCGGGGCUCAACCUCGGAAUUGCAUUUGAAACUGGCAGGCUAGAGUCUUGUAGAGGGGGGUAGAAUUUCAGGUGUAGCGGUGAAAUGCGUAGAGAUCUGAAGGAAUACCAGUGGCGAAGGCGGCCCCCUGGACAAAGACUGACGCUCAGAUGCGAAAGCGUGGGGAGCAAACAGGAUUAGAUACCCUGGUAGGAUAGCG